Suncus etruscus (white-toothed pygmy shrew) is the source of this 132-nucleotide small nucleolar RNA. RefSeq annotates it as small nucleolar RNA SNORA51. Lineage: Eukaryota; Metazoa; Chordata; Mammalia; Eulipotyphla; Soricidae. The transcript has a single exon. The record is from RefSeq and is a predicted model, not a curated record.
GGCCUCCCAAAGCUUACCACAGGCUGUAUACUUUACACUGACUGUAUAGAAGAGGAGGUACAGUAAAUGCUCCCCAUAUGCACCUCUGCCCAGGCCCUUUUGCCUGGUCUGUACUGUGAAUGGGGGACAAGA